GGAUUUAUAGUGAUCCUAGAUUAUCUCAAUGGCAUUGAGGGGGUCAGCAGUUCGAGUCUGCUUAGCUCCA
RNAcentral lists this transfer RNA (70 nucleotides) under Roseofilum sp. SID2. RNAcentral describes it as "tRNA-Ser". The record is from RNAcentral. Lineage: Bacteria; Bacillati; Cyanobacteriota; Cyanophyceae; Desertifilales; Desertifilaceae. RNAcentral also lists the same sequence under 1 other name.